Long non-coding RNA from Sorex araneus (European shrew), 352 nucleotides. RefSeq lists it as uncharacterized. NCBI's taxonomy places the organism in Eukaryota, Metazoa, Chordata, Mammalia, Eulipotyphla, Soricidae. The transcript has 3 exons. The record is from RefSeq and is a predicted model, not a curated record.
AGCCCCCACAGCCGAAGGCCUCCGGAACCCAGCUAAAGCCAUGCUCAAGGACCCUCUCCACAUGUUUGGACUAGCCUCACACAUGAAAGAACCGGCAGAGGAAUCCAGCUAAACUUAGUUUCUGAACACCUGUUCCAGCCUUCCGCCUGUUUGUAACCACCCUGAUUUGUAUUUGUAGAGAGUCUCUUGCUCGUGAGCCUGGCUGUCUUUCCUGGGGCCCCGAGGAGGGGAUGAGCUCCAGCUUCCCUCCCCGCCCCCAGCAGAGCUCCCGGUAACCGAAGAUCUCCGGAACCUAGCCACAGCCAUGCUCAAGGCUCCUCUCCACAUGUUCGGACAAGCCUCAUGCAUGAAG